UACAGAGGUCUCAAGCGUUGUUCGGAUUCAUUGGGCGUAAAGGGUGCGUAGGCGGCGCGGUAAGUCGGGUGUGAAAUCUCGGAGCUUGACUCCGAAACUGCAUUCGAUACUGCCGUGCUUGAGGACUGGAGAGGAGACUGGAAUUUACGGUGUAGCGGUGAAAUGCGUAGAUAUCGUAAGGAAGACCAGUGGCGAAGGCGGGUCUCUGGACAGUUCCUGACGCUGAGGCACGAAGGCCAGGGGAGCAAACGGG
This 253-nucleotide ribosomal RNA is filed under the name uncultured bacterium. RNAcentral describes it as "partial 16S ribosomal RNA". It matches the Rfam family "Bacterial small subunit ribosomal RNA", at positions 524 to 776 of the family's 1533-position model. The record is from RNAcentral.